Molecule: transfer RNA, 69 nt
Filed under: Echinoderes svetlanae
Lineage: Eukaryota; Metazoa; Kinorhyncha; Cyclorhagida; Echinoderidae
Description: tRNA-Ile
Source: RNAcentral
UAUAUUAUGCCUGAUAAAAGGACUAUUUUGAUAAAGUAGAAUAUCAAGUUAUUUAAGCUUGUAAUAUAA